AUGAGGAAAACAACAUGUGAAUGUGGAGGUAUGACAAAGGAAUCACUGCACAGCAUCCAAACUCUUUUUCCAAGGAGAGCUGUUCCUGAGGAUGGCCCCAGCUCUUCUAGAGGUGCUCCCACACCCCCAGCAGCAGCCCAAGAUUCAGCGUUGACAGGGGUUGUUCUGAAUGUAACAGGAUCCCACGGCAGAUGUAAACCAGACUCCAGGCAUUUGCUUCGUGUUUCAGCGAGGAGGUUUCCUUCCAGGCCCUGAAAAGAUUUUUUCUGAGGAAUCUCUUCACUGAUGUGAGCUCUCUGUCAGAUGAAGUUGUGGCAUUUCAUCUUCAGAGCCAUCCAGUCAUCAAAAAGACAUGUCCUCUCCCAAAGUGGAGUUUGUCAUCCUCAAAAAACUGAUGGAACAUGCAUUCAUCCCACCUUCUCCAUGGAUGGAGAGAUACUUGUGUGUGGAGAGGAGAUUGUCCUCAAGCCAGAAUUUAUAUGACCACCACCUGGAUGCCAAAUCAUUUUGAGAGAGGCAGUGGGCCUAUUGGAGGGACACAUUGGAGUUUUAGGGCUUUUUAUUGCCUUAUUGCUCUUAUCUUGUGCAGCUGCAUUAAUGGUGUUCG
Molecule: long non-coding RNA, 607 nt
Filed under: Parus major (Great Tit)
Lineage: Eukaryota; Metazoa; Chordata; Aves; Passeriformes; Paridae
Description: lncRNA (ENSPMJG00000017278.1)
Source: RNAcentral